RNAcentral lists this transfer RNA (68 nucleotides) under Camelus bactrianus (Bactrian camel). It matches the Rfam family "tRNA". From Rfam's summary of the family: Transfer RNA (tRNA) molecules are approximately 80 nucleotides in length. Their secondary structure includes four short double-helical elements and three loops (D, anti-codon, and T loops). RNAcentral also lists the same sequence under 2 other names. The record is from Rfam by way of RNAcentral. Lineage: Eukaryota; Metazoa; Chordata; Mammalia; Artiodactyla; Camelidae.
GGGGUUGCUCAGUGGUAGAGCGCAUGCUUAGCAUGACAAGGUCCUGGGUUCAAUCCCCAGGGCCUCCA